Molecule: long non-coding RNA, 665 nt
Organism: Dreissena polymorpha
Lineage: Eukaryota; Metazoa; Mollusca; Bivalvia; Myida; Dreissenidae
Exons: 2
Source: RefSeq, a predicted model, not a curated record
CGCCAUGAGCGCAUGAUACGCCCGUCGUUCGCCAAUGAAGUAGUAAGGUAAUAAAUAACCCUUUGAAUCAUUUUUUUACUUCAGUUUAUUUGUAUUUGAAUACAUGGUUUAUUUUAUAAGAACAUGAGCAUGGAGCGCCGUCUCCUUGACAUUCAACAAAGUCCCAUAACUGUGGAACAACAAUUCAGAAUUCCGUCAAAAACGAAAGGGGAUCAGGGUUUAUCAAUAUUAAGAUUGUGUUGAAAUUUGAAAAAAAUCCAUCGAAGGAUAUUUGAGCUACAGUAGGACAUUCAAUGAAAUCACGAAAUUUUGACGAACAAAGUCCCAUAACUCUGGAACGACAAUUCAGAAUUCCGUCAAAAACGAAAGGGGAUCAGGGUUUAUCAAUAUUAAGAUUGUGUUGAAAUUUGAAAAAAAUCCAUCGAAGGAUAUUUGAGCUACAGUAGGACAUUCAAUGAAAUCACGAAAUUUUGACGAACAAAGUCCCAUAACUCUGGAACGACAAUUCAGAAUUCCGUCAAAAACGAAAGGGGAUCAGGGUUUAUCAAUAUUAAGAUUGUGUUAAAAUUUGAAGAAAAUCUGUCAAAGGAUAUUUGACGUAGCGUACGACAUUAACAGACGGACAGACGGACGCGGGGUAUACCAUAAUACGUCCCGUCAUAGAC